GUUCCAGCCGCCGCGGUAAUACAGAGGGGGCAAGCGUUGUUCGGAAUUACUGGGCGUAAAGGGCGCGUAGGCGGCCUCCUAAGUCGGACGUGAAAUCCCCGAGCUCAACUCGGGAACUGCGUCCGAUACUGGUUGGCUUGAAUCCGGGAGAGGGAUGCGGAAUUCCAGGUGUAGCGGUGAAAUGCGUAGAUAUCUGGAGGAACACCGGUGGCGAAGGCGGCAUCCUGGACCGGCAUUGACGCUGAGGCGCGAAAGCCAGGGGAGCAAACGGGAUUAGAUACCCGGGUAGUCC
Molecule: ribosomal RNA, 292 nt
Filed under: uncultured bacterium
Lineage: Bacteria
Description: partial 16S ribosomal RNA
Rfam family: Bacterial small subunit ribosomal RNA
Source: RNAcentral